GAUGAACGCUGGCGGCGUGCCUAAUACAUGCAAGUCGAGCGAACAGACGAGGAGCUUGCUCCUCUGACGUUAGCGGCGGACGGGUGAGUAACACGUGGAUAACCUACCUAUAAGACUGGGAUAACUUCGGGAAACCGGAGCUAAUACCGGAUAACAUGUUGAACCGCAUGGUUUAACAGUGAAAGACGGUCUUGCUGUCACUUAUAGAUGGAUCCGCGCCGCAUUAGCUAGUUGGUAAGGUAACGGCUUACCAAGGCAACGAUGCGUAGCCGACCUGAGAGGGUGAUCGGCCACACUGGAACUGAGACACGGUCCAGACUCCUACGGGAGGCAGCAGUAGGGAAUCUUCCGCAAUGGGCGAAAGCCUGACGGAGCAACACCGCGUGAGUGAAGAAGGUCUUCGGAUCGUAAAACUCUGUUAUUAGGGAAGAACAAAUGUGUAAGUAACUAUGCACGUCUUGACGGUACCUAAUCAGAAAGCCACGGCUAACUACGUG
RNAcentral lists this ribosomal RNA (497 nucleotides) under uncultured bacterium. RNAcentral's name for it is "partial 16S ribosomal RNA". It matches the Rfam family "Bacterial small subunit ribosomal RNA", at positions 28 to 507 of the family's 1533-position model. The record is from RNAcentral.